RNAcentral lists this ribosomal RNA (440 nucleotides) under uncultured bacterium. Its description in RNAcentral is "partial 16S ribosomal RNA". It matches the Rfam family "Bacterial small subunit ribosomal RNA", at positions 338 to 795 of the family's 1533-position model. The record is from RNAcentral.
CCUACGGGAGGCAGCAGUGGGGGAUAUUGCACAAUGGGGGAAACCCUGAUGCAGCGACGCCGCGUGUGGGAAGACGGUCCUCUGGAUUGUAAACCACUGUCCCCAGGGACGAAGAUGACGGUACCUGGGGAGGAAGCUCCGGCAAACUACGUGCCAGCAGCCGCGGUAAUACGUAGGGAGCGAGCGUUGUCCGGAAUUACUGGGGGAAAAGGGAGCGUAGGCGGGACUGCAAGUUGGGUGUCAAAUCUACCGGCUCAACCGGUAGCCGCACUUAAAACUGCAGUUCUUGAGUGAAGUAGAGGCAGGCGGAAUUCCUAGUGUAGCGGUGAAAUGCGUAGAUAUUAGGAGGAACACCAGUGGCGAAGGCGGCCUGCUGGGCUUUUACUGACGCUGAGGCUCGAAAGUGUGGGGAGCAAACAGGAUUAGAUACCCGGGUAGUC